Molecule: unclassified non-coding RNA, 338 nt
Filed under: soil metagenome
Description: partial contains 5.8S ribosomal RNA, internal transcribed spacer 2, and large subunit ribosomal RNA
Rfam family: 5.8S ribosomal RNA (bases 1-120)
Source: RNAcentral
GAUGAAGAACGUAGCGAAAUGCGAUACGUAGUGUGAAUUGCAGAAUUCAGUGAAUCAUCGAAUCUUUGAACGCACAUUGCGCCCUUUGGUACUCCAAAGGGCAUGCCUGUUCGAGCGUCAUUUGUACCCUCAAGCUUUGCUUGGUGUUGGGCGUCUUGUCUCCAGUCCGCUGGAGACUCGCCUUAAAGUCAUUGGCAGCCGGCCUACUGGUUUCGGAGCGCAGCACAAGUCGCACUCUCUUCCAGCCAAGGUCAGUGUCCAACAAGCCUUUUUUCAACUUUUGACCUCGGAUCAGGUAGGGAUACCCGCUGAACUUAAGCAUAUCAAUAAGCGGAGGA